Molecule: ribosomal RNA, 436 nt
Filed under: Babesia microti
Lineage: Eukaryota; Apicomplexa; Aconoidasida; Piroplasmida; Babesiidae
Description: SSU rRNA
Rfam family: Eukaryotic small subunit ribosomal RNA
Source: RNAcentral
AAUUACCCAAUCCUGACACAGGGAGGUAGUGACAAGAAAUAACAAUACAGGGCUUAAAGUCUUGUAAUUGGAAUGAUGGGAAUCUAAACCCUUCCCAGAGUAUCAAUUGGAGGGCAAGUCUGGUGCCAGCAGCCGCGGUAAUUCCAGCUCCAAUAGCGUAUAUUAAAGUUGUUGCAGUUAAGAAGCUCGUAGUUGAAUUUCUGCCUUGUCAUUAAUCUCGCUUCCGAGCGUUUUUUUAUUGACUUGGCAUCUUCUGGAAUUGGUGCCUUCGGGUACUAUUUUCCAGGAUUUACUUUGAGAAAACUAGAGUGUUUCAAACAGGCAUUCGCCUUGAAUACUACAGCAUGGAAUAAUGAAGUAGGACUUUGGUUCUAUUUUGUUGGUUAUUGAGCCAGAGUAAUGGUUAAUAGGAGCAGUUGGGGGCAUUCGUAUUUAA